CCGCCGACACCCGCACGCAGGCUCCCGCCGGCGCGGCACCGUCCCCACCGCUGCUGAGCGCGCCUCUGCCCAUAGUCUCGAGGGCCAGAUGUGACGGGAGAGGUGCUGCAGUUGCGGAAAUUGCGGGGCGCAGCCAAGCCCCUGUUGGCACGUGGCCCAUGCCACAAAAUUAACCCGGGCGCCAGGGAACCCAGGAGAAUGUAAAGUUAGACCUGACUUUUUAGUCUUGUGUGCCGAAUAAUAGAAAGAGACACCAGAGAUGCACCUGCACAGAGGGAAGGCCAUGUGAGGACACAGAGAGAAGGUGCAGUCUACAAGUCAAGAAGAAUGGCUUCACCAGAAACCAGCCCUACUGGCACCUUGAUCUUGGACUUCCAGCCUCCAGCACUAUAAGUCCUUGGGCAACCUGACCUCCGGGCAUCAAUGGCAGCUGGAUGCUGGUUAUCUGGUGAUCAUAACUUCCUUGAAGGCAUUCUUUUUCUUCUGUAAAACAAGCUCACAGAUCCUUAUGACCCUUGAAUCACCCCUCAGGUUAAACAAGAAAACAGCAAAUUGACAAGAUUAUCUUCUUUUCAUCUAUGUCUGUGUUGGGAACAAGGUCAAAAGGGUCACAUCAAAAGGAUCCUUGGCCACAUCUUUUUCUUCUUUCACUCCCUGAGUCCUUUUCUCCCAACUAUGCCAACUGAGGAUUGUACAGCAUCUUCUUUUGACUGGACUUCUUGAAGAGGAGCAGCUGUGUGUUGGAAAGGAAGGACCCUCCUCGGCAGUAGUGCUGGAGACUCCUGACUUUAUCAUCAACAAUACCUCUGUGAUCUGAAGCAAGUUACUUCUCAUAUCUGGGCUGAUUCCUUCAUUCUAAAAUGAGAUUUGGUGGCAGUGUCAGGAUCCAAAGUGAACUUCUGAUGGCAUUCGUGGACAAGGGGAAACACAGCUGUGGUGCCCUGUGAACACUUUUGAGUUCAGUCUUUCUCACCAUUUCAAAGGGCCAUUCAUGAGUUCCUCUCAGUUUGAGCUCCCCUCUCUGUUUGCAUUAGAGCUCCC
Molecule: long non-coding RNA, 1041 nt
Filed under: Equus caballus (horse)
Lineage: Eukaryota; Metazoa; Chordata; Mammalia; Perissodactyla; Equidae
Description: lncRNA (ENSECAG00000056539.1)
Source: RNAcentral